AUGGCUGUCCUGGUGCUGCUCCUCUGCCUGGUGACAUUUUCAAGCUGUGCCCUGUCCCAGAUACAGCUGAAGGAGUCAGGACCUGGCCUGGUGCAGUCCUCACAGACCCUGUCACUCACCUGCACUGUAUCUGGGUUCUCUUUAACCAGCUAUGGUGUACACUGGAUCCGCCAACCUCCAGGAAAGGGUCUGGAAUGGAUGGGAGUAAUAGCAUAUAAUGGAAAUACAAAUUAUAAUUCAGCUCUUCAGUCCCGAAUCAGCAUCACCAGGGACACCUCCAAGAGCCAAGUUUUCUUAAAACUGAACAGUCUGCAAACUGAGGACACAGCCAUGUAUUACUGUACCAUAGACACAGUGAGAGAACUCCAGUGUGAACCUGCCCAAAAACCUCCAUAUGGAGAUGCUCACAACCAGCAGGGGGCAUGUGGUCCAGCAGAGUCUCCCAAGAGCAGUGUCCAGUGUGAAGUGCAGUUGUCGGAGUCUGGUGGAGGCUUAGUGCAACCAGGAAAGUCCCUGAAACUCUCCUGUGCAGCCUCUGGAUUCACCCUCAGUGGUUACCUGAUGAACUAG
This is a non-coding RNA of Microtus ochrogaster (prairie vole), 570 nucleotides long. NCBI's taxonomy places the organism in Eukaryota, Metazoa, Chordata, Mammalia, Rodentia, Cricetidae. The record is from the annotation of a RefSeq genome assembly.